CUUUAUGGCCAUACCACCCUGAAUGCUCCUGAUCUCAUCUGAUCUCAGAAGCUAAGCAGGGUCGGGCCUGGUUAGUACUUGGAUGCAUAUGAGCCCUUUGUCAGUUAUACUUG
Molecule: ribosomal RNA, 113 nt
Organism: Pan troglodytes (chimpanzee)
Lineage: Eukaryota; Metazoa; Chordata; Mammalia; Primates; Hominidae
Source: Rfam